RNAcentral lists this ribosomal RNA (4467 nucleotides) under Triticum aestivum (bread wheat). RNAcentral describes it as "partial small subunit ribosomal RNA". Lineage: Eukaryota; Viridiplantae; Streptophyta; Magnoliopsida; Poales; Poaceae. The record is from RNAcentral.
AUGCCCAUCGCGGCAGCGAUGGCGGGCCAGAAGCAGCCCGCCCUCCCCUUGGUCCUGCGGCCGCUGCUCCUCCACGGCGUCGGCGCCGGGGCCCACCUCCUGCUCGCGCUCGCCGUCGCGGCCCGGCUCCUCUUCGCCUCCGGCCGCCGCGGCAAGGACACGGCCGCCCCGGCCCCGGGGAGAGGCAGUGGCAUCCGGUUCCGGUGGGGCCAGGUCGCGGUGCGCGCCACGUGGGCGCUGGCGGCGUCCGAGCUCUUCCUCGCCGCCUACUCGGUCGUCUCGUGGUACCUCGACAACAGCGGCGGCGGCGGGGCCGAGGUCACGGACGCCGCGGCGCGCGCGGUGGCGUGGCUGCUGCUCGCGGCGUACCUGCAGCUCGAGUACCGCGGCCGCGGGGAGGAGCGGUUCCCCGCGCCGCUCAGGCUCUGGUGGGCGCUCUUCCUUCUCCUCUCUGUCCUCGCCGUCGCCGUCCACGCCGCGACCAGCCUCUGCUACGGGCUUCCCGUGCCCGCGCUUCCGUGGGCGCGCGACGCCGUUGAGGUCAUCGCGGCCGUGGCGCUACUCGUCGCCGGGUUCUCGGCCAAGAGGGCGGCGACGACGACGGGCGGCUCUGCUUCCGAGGAGCCUCUGCUCAACGGCGCGAGCGACGACGACACCGUCGAUGCUUCCCUCUUCACGAGCGCCGGCUUCCUCAGCGUCCUCACCUUCUCCUGGAUGAGCCCCCUGUUCGCAGUCGGCCACAGGAAGACCCUCGGCCUCGACGACGUCCCGGACCUCGAUCACGGCGACAGCGUGGCGGGCCUGCUCCCCUCGUUCAAGACGAACCUGGAGGCGCUCGCCGGCGACGGCUCUGGCUCUGGCCCGAAGUUCACCGCGUUCAAGCUCACCAGGGCCCUUGUGCGCACCGUGUGGUGGCACAUCGCGGUGACCGCGCUCUACGCGCUCAUCUACAACUUGGCCACCUACGUUGGCCCAUACCUCAUAGACUCCCUGGUGCAGUACCUCAACGGCGACGAGAGGUACGCCGGCAAGGGGAAGCUCCUUGUUGUCACAUUCAUCGUAGCCAAGGUGUUUGAGUGUUUGUCACAACGGCACUGGUUCUUCCGGCUACAGCAAGCCGGGAUACGUACUCGGUCCGCGCUCGUCUCCGUCGUGUACCAGAAAGGGCUCUCUCUGUCCAGCAGCUCGAGACAGAGCUGCACGAGCGGGGAGAUGAUCAACAUCAUCAGCGUGGAUGCCGACCGAGUCGGGCUCUUCUCAUGGUACAUGCACGAUCCCUGGCUGGUACCUCUCCAAGUAGGCCUGGCAUUGUUCAUCUUGUACUCCACCCUCGGGGUAGCCUCGCUUGCAGCGCUCGGUGCCACCAUCGCGGUCAUGCUUGCAAAUGUGCCUCCGAUGAAAAUGCAGGAGAAGUUCCAGCAGAAGCUGAUGGACUGCAAGGAUGUGCGGAUGAAGGUGACAUCUGAGAUCCUGCGUAACAUGAGGAUUCUCAAACUGCAGGGGUGGGAGAUGAAGUUCUUGUCCAAGAUCAAUGACCUCAGGACGACAGAGACAAGCUGGCUCAAGAAGUACCUUUACACAUGGACCGCGGCCACCUUCGUGUUCUGGGGUGCCCCGACCUUCGUCGCUGUGGCAACCUUUGGAGCUUGCAUGCUCUUAGGGAUACCAUUGGAGUCAGGGAAGGUGCUGUCUGCAUUGGCCACGUUCCGGGUGCUUCAAGAACCAAUAUACAACCUUCCUGACACAAUCUCGAUGAUGAUCCAGACCAAGGUGUCUCUUGACAGGAUAGCAUCUUUCCUAUGCCUUGAGGAGUUUCCGACGGAUGCUGUGGAGAGGCUACCAAGUGGUAGCUCCAAUGUUGCAAUUGAGGUCAGCAAUGGGUGCUUCUCCUGGGACGGCUCGCCUGAGCUGCCAACGCUGAAGGACCUGAAUUUUCAAGCUCGGCAAGGCAUGCAUGUUGCAGUCUGUGGGACGGUCGGCUCUGGGAAAUCAAGCUUGCUCUCUUGCAUUCUUGGUGAGGUGCCAAAGCUAUCAGGGGAGGUCAAGACUUGCGGGACAAUGGCGUAUGUCAGCCAGACGGCAUGGAUACAGAGUGGCAAAAUUCAGGACAACAUACUGUUCGGCAAGGAGAUGGACAGUGAGAAGUAUGACAGUGUCCUUGAGUGGUGUUCUCUGAAGAAAGAUUUGGAGAUCUUGCCAUUCGGCGACAAGACAGUCAUUGGAGAGCGAGGCAUUAAUCUUAGUGGCGGGCAGAAGCAAAGGAUUCAGAUAGCCCGAGCUUUGUAUCAGGAUGCCGACAUCUAUUUGUUCGAUGAUCCGUUCAGCGCAGUCGAUGCUCAUACAGGAUCCCACCUUUUUAAGGAAUGCUUGCUUGGGGCUUUGGCUUCAAAAACAGUGGUUUAUGUCACUCACCAGAUUGAGUUCCUGCCUGCAGCUGAUCUUAUUCUGGUAAUGAAAGGCGGGAGAAUAGCACAAGCAGGCAAAUACAACGAUAUACUUGGUUCAGGGGAGGAGCUAAUGGAACUGGUUGGUGCUCACCAGCAUGCUCUCACAGCAUUGGAUGUGAUUGAUGUUGCUAAUGGAAGCAGUGAGAAAUUAUCUUCAAGCCUAUCCAGGUCAUUGUCAUCAGCUGAAGAGAAAGAUAAACAAAAUGGCAAAGAAGACGGUGACAAGGUUCAAAGUGGGCAGCUGGUGCAGGAAGAAGAAAGGGAAAAAGGCAGGGUGGGGUUCUGGGUAUACUGGAAGUACCUCACAUUGGCUUACGGCGGAGCUCUGGUACCAUUCGUGUUGAUAACACAGCUACUUUUCCAAGUACUUCAGAUUGCUAGCAAUUACUGGAUGGCUUGGGCUUCUCCUGUAUCAGAAGACGCCGAGCCUCCGGUGAGCACGUCGACACUGAUCUACGUUUUUGUGGCAUUGGCUGUUGCAAGUUCCCUGUGCAUCCUCGUAAGGGCAUUGUUUGUUGUCACAGCUGCAUACAAAACAGCAACUCUGUUGUUCAACAAGAUGCACAUGGCCAUAUUCAGAGCUCCUAUGUCUUUCUUCGAUUCCACUCCAAGUGGGCGCAUCUUGAAUAGAGCUUCAACUGAUCAAAGUGAAGUGGAUACAUACAUUGCUAACCAGAUGGGUUAUGUUGCGUUUUCCAUCAUACAACUAGCUGGAAUUAUUGUGGUGAUGUCUCAGGUAGCAUGGCAGGUGUUCGUUGUUUUCGUUCCUGUAAUCAUUAUCUUCUUGUGCUACCAGCGCUAUUACAUUGAGACUGCCAGAGAGCUGCAAAGGCUGGUAGGGGUUUGCAAAGCUCCUAUCAUACAACAUUUUUCAGAAUCAAUUAGUGGAUCAACAACCAUCAGAAGUUUUGGCAAAGAAAAUCAGUUUGUAUUAACUAAUAGCCAUCUAAUAGAUGCCGACUCUCGACCGAAAUUCUACAAUGCUGCAGCAAUGGAGUGGCUUUGUUUCCGCUUGGAUACGCUGUCGUCCUUUACAUUUGCAUUCGCUUUGAUAUUUCUGAUCAGUCUACCAACUGGUAUCAUUGACCCAGGUAUUGCUGGUCUCGCGGUCACCUAUGGGCUUAACUUGAACAUGUUGCAAGCAUGGGUUGUCCGGAGCAUGUGCAAUUUGGAGAACAAGAUCGUAUCAGUAGAAAGAAUUCUGCAAUACAUAAGCAUUCCUGAAGAGCCUCCACUUUCAACGUCAGGAGAUAAGUUGCCCCAUAACUGGCCAUCAGAGGGAGAAAUUCAGCUUCGUAAUCUCCAUGUGAGGUAUGCCCCACAACUAGCAUUUGUUCUGAAGGGCCUUUCAGUCACUUUCCCUGGAGGCAUGAAGACCGGUAUUGUUGGAAGAACGGGCAGUGGUAAAUCAACACUCAUACAGGUCCUAUUCCGUAUUGUCGAGCCUACUGUGGGUCAGAUACUGGUAGAUGGUGUUGACAUCUGCACCAUCGGGCUGCAUGAUCUGAGAUCUAGACUUAGCAUCAUUCCGCAAGAUCCAACGAUGUUUGAGGGAACUGUGAGGAGCAACCUUGACCCUCUUAACGAAUACAACGACGAUCAGAUCUGGGAGGCCUUGGAUAACUGUCAGCUGGGAGACGAGGUCAGGAAGAAGGAGCUGAAGCUCGACUCACCAGUGAUAGAGAAUGGAGAGAACUGGAGCGUGGGGCAGCGCCAGCUUGUGUGUCUUGGCAGGGUGAUUCUGAAACGAACCAAGAUACUGGUUCUGGACGAAGCCACUGCUUCAGUGGAUACCGCGACAGACAACAUGAUUCAGAGAACGCUGCGUGAGAAUUUCUCGGAGGCGACGGUCAUCACGAUCGCGCAUCGGAUCACCUCGGUCCUUGACAGCGACAUGGUCUUGCUCCUCGACGACGGUGUGGCCGUGGAGCGUGACACGCCGGCCAAGCUGCUGGAGGACAAGUCGUCUCUGUUCUCGAAGCUUGUAGCAGAGUACACGAUGAGAGCGACGCACACGUAG